ACCCACUAGCUGCAGAGGAUUUGACAACAACAGGCAGAACUGGCUCCUGAGACCUAACCCAGGAAUGGCCCUCACUGGACCAACUGCCAGGGCUCCAGUCUGCUCGCUGCUGGUUCUCUUGUAUCUUCGUACAGUCACAGGAAUGUCAGGCUGGGGUGGAUGUUUGGACGGCC
Oreochromis aureus is the source of this 173-nucleotide long non-coding RNA. RefSeq lists it as uncharacterized. The record is from RefSeq and is a predicted model, not a curated record. NCBI's taxonomy places the organism in Eukaryota, Metazoa, Chordata, Actinopteri, Cichliformes, Cichlidae. The transcript has 3 exons.